UUGAACGCUGGCGGAAUGCUUUACACAUGCAAGUCGAGCGCCCCGCAAGGGGAGCGGCAGACGGGAGAGUAACACGUGGGAACAUGCCCUUCAGUUCGGAACAACCAAGGGAAACUUUGGCUAAUACCGGAUACGCCCGUAAGGGGAAAGAUUUAUCGCUGAAGGAUUGGCCCGCGUCUGAUUAGCUAGUUGGUGGGGUAAUGGCCCACCAAGGCGACGAUCAGUAGCUGGUCUGAGGGGAUGAUCAGCCUCACUGGGACUGAGACACGGCCCAGACUCCUACGGGAGGCAGCAGUGGGGAAUAUUGGACAAUGGGCGAAAGCCUGAUCCAGCCAUGCCGCGUGAGUGAUGAAGGCCUUAGGGUUGUAAAGCUCUUUCGUCAGGGAAGAUAAUGACGGUACCUGAAGAAGAAGCCCCGGCUAACUUCGU
This 429-nucleotide ribosomal RNA is filed under the name uncultured bacterium. RNAcentral describes it as "bacterial SSU rRNA". It matches the Rfam family "Bacterial small subunit ribosomal RNA", at positions 30 to 506 of the family's 1533-position model. The record is from RNAcentral.